RNAcentral lists this ribosomal RNA (253 nucleotides) under uncultured bacterium. RNAcentral describes it as "partial 16S ribosomal RNA". It matches the Rfam family "Bacterial small subunit ribosomal RNA", at positions 524 to 776 of the family's 1533-position model. The record is from RNAcentral.
UACGUAGGGCGCAAGCGUUGUCCGGAAUUAUUGGGCGUAAAGAGCUCGUAGGCGGCUUGUCACGUCGGGUGUGAAAGCCCGGGGCUUAACCCCGGGUCUGCAUUCGAUACGGGCUAGCUAGAGUGUGGUAGGGGAGAUCGGAAUUCCUGGUGUAGCGGUGAAAUGCGCAGAUAUCAGGAGGAACACCGGUGGCGAAGGCGGUUCUCUGGGCCUUACCUGACGCUGAGGAGCGAAAGCAUGGGGAGCAAACAGG